Molecule: ribosomal RNA, 199 nt
Filed under: uncultured bacterium
Lineage: Bacteria
Description: partial 16S ribosomal RNA
Rfam family: Bacterial small subunit ribosomal RNA
Source: RNAcentral
CUAGUUCGGAUUGUAGGCUGAAACUCGCCUACAUGAAGCUGGAAUUGCUAGUAAUCACAGGUCAGCAUACUGUGGUGAAUACGUUCCCGGGCCUUGUACACACCGCCCGUCACACCAUGAGAGUUGAGAAUACCCGAAGCCCAUGUCAAAGUGGUCGAAGGUAGGCUUGAUGAUUGGGGUGAAGUCGUAACAAGGUACC